AUUGAACGCUGGCGGCAGGCUUAACACAUGCAAGUCGAACGGUAACGGGUUGAAAGCUUGCUUUCAAUGCUGACGAGUGGCGGACGGGUGAGUAAGGCUUGGGGAUCUGGCUUUUGGAGGGGGAUAACCAUUGGAAACGAUGGCUAAUACCGCAUAGAAUCGAGAGAUGAAAGGGGUGGGAAACCACUUGCCAAGGGAUGAACCCAAGUGAGAUUAGGUAGUUGGUGGGGUAAAGGCCUACCAAGCCGACGAUCUCUAGCUGGUCUGAGAGGAUGGCCAGCCACACUGGGACUGAGACACGGCCCAGACUCCUACGGGAGGCAGCAGUGGGGAAUAUUGCGCAAUGGGGGGAACCCUGACGCAGCCAUGCCGCGUGAGUGAAGAAGGCCUUCGGGUUGUAAAGUUCUUUCGGUGGUGAGGAAGGUUAGGAUGUUAAUAGCAUACUGAUUUGACGUUAGCCACAGAAGAAGCACCGGCUAACUCCGUGCCAGCAGCCGCGGUAAUACGGAGGGUGCGAGCGUUAAUCGGAAUAACUGGGCGUAAAGGGCACGCAGGCGGGACGUUAAGUGAGAUGUGAAAGCCCCGGGCUUAACCUGGGAACAGCAUUUCAUACUGGCGUACUAGAGUACUUUAGGGAGGGGUAGAAUUCCACGUGUAGCGGUGAAAUGCGUAGAGAUGUGGAGGAAUACCGAAGGCGAAGGCAGCCCCUUGGGAAGAUACUGACGCUCAUGUGCGAAAGCGUGNGGGAGCAAACAGG
This 757-nucleotide ribosomal RNA is filed under the name uncultured bacterium. Its description in RNAcentral is "bacterial SSU rRNA". It matches the Rfam family "Bacterial small subunit ribosomal RNA", at positions 28 to 776 of the family's 1533-position model. The record is from RNAcentral.